Molecule: non-coding RNA, 315 nt
Organism: Paramuricea clavata
Lineage: Eukaryota; Metazoa; Cnidaria; Anthozoa; Malacalcyonacea; Plexauridae
Source: the annotation of a GenBank genome assembly
CUUUUAUUUCAAAUACUAGUAUACUUAGCAUAAAUUUUAGAGCAAAUUUAAAUGCUCAGAAUGCAGGAAAUGGCAUUUCAGGGCUUCAAAUUUCAAAAAUUUUCUCGGGGAAUAUGCCUACAGACCCCGUGGCCUUCAGCCAUUUCCUAUCCCCCUCUAAUACUGCAUUAUUUCACAGAAAGGUCCCUUUUCAAAAAAUCCCCCCCCCCCCCGCCCCACACAGGAAAAUCCUUAAAAAAGGCCCUGACCAGUAUACCAAAAAAAAACAAAAAAAAACAAACUAAAAACUAUUAAAAAUCCCCCCCCCCACGCCCC